GAUGAACGCUGGCGGCGUGCCUAAUACAUGCAAGUCGAGCGAACAGACGAGGAGCUUGCUCCUCAGACGUUAGCGGCGGACGGGUGAGUAACACGUGGAUAACCUACCUAUAAGACUGGGAUAACUUCGGGAAACCGGAGCUAAUACCGGAUAAUAUAUUGAACCGCAUGGUUCAAUAGUGAAAGACGGUUUUGCUGUCACUUAUAGAUGGAUCCGCGCCGCAUUAGCUAGUUGGUAAGGUAACGGCUUACCAAGGCAACGAUGCGUAGCCGACCUGAGAGGGUGAUCGGCCACACUGGAACUGAGACACGGUCCAGACUCCGACGGGAGGCAGCAGUAGGGAAGCUUCCGCAAUGGGCGAAAGCCUGACGGAGCAACGCCGCGUGAGUGAUGAAGGGCUUCGGAUCGUAAAACUCUGUUAUUAGGGAAGAACAAAUGUGUAAGUAACUAUGCACGUCUUGACGGUACCUAAUCAGAAAGCCACGGCUAACUACGUG
RNAcentral lists this ribosomal RNA (497 nucleotides) under uncultured bacterium. RNAcentral's name for it is "partial 16S ribosomal RNA". It matches the Rfam family "Bacterial small subunit ribosomal RNA", at positions 28 to 507 of the family's 1533-position model. The record is from RNAcentral.